RNAcentral lists this ribosomal RNA (497 nucleotides) under uncultured bacterium. RNAcentral's name for it is "partial 16S ribosomal RNA". It matches the Rfam family "Bacterial small subunit ribosomal RNA", at positions 28 to 507 of the family's 1533-position model. The record is from RNAcentral.
GAUGAACGCUGGCGGCGUGCCUAAUACAUGCAAGUCGAGCGAACGGACGAGAAGCUUGCUCCUCUGAUGUUAGCGGCGGACGGGAGAGUAACACGUGGAUAACCUACCUAUAAGACAGGGAUAACUUCGGGAAACCGUAGCUAAUACCGGAUAAUAUUUUGAACCGCAUGGUUCAAAAGUGAAAGACGGUCUUGCUGUCACUUAUAGAUGGAUCCGCGCUGCAUUAGCUAGUUGGUAAGGUAACGGCUUACCAAGGCAACGAUGCAUAGCCGACCUGAGAGGGUGAUCGGCCACACUGGAACUGAGACACGGUCCAGACUCCUACGGGAGGCAGCAGUAGGGAAUCUUCCGCAAUGGGCGAAAGCCUGACGGAGCAACGCCGCGUGAGUGAUGAAGGUCUUCGGAUCGUAAAACUCUGUUAUUAGGGAAGAACAUAUGUGUAAGUAACUGUGCACAUCUUGACGGUACCUAAUCAGAAAGCCACGGCUAACUACGUG